CAGAGGUUCGAAGGCGAUCAGAUACCGCCCUAGUUCUGACCGUAAACGAUGCCACCUGAGAUCCGCCAGGGUUACUACCAUGACUCGGCGGGCAGUCCCCGGGAAACCCAAGCCUUCGGGUUCCGGGGGAAGUAUGGUUGCAAAGCUGAAACUUAAAGGAAUUGACGGAAGGGCACCACCAGGAGUGGAGCCUGCGGCUUAAUUUGACUCAACACGGGGAACCUCACCCGGCCCGGACACCGCGAGGAUUGACAGAUUGAGAGCUCUUUCUCGAUUCGGUGGGUGGUGGUGCAUGGCCGUUCUUAGUUGGUGGAGCGAUUUGUCUGGUUAAUUCCGAUAACGAACGAGACUCUAGCCGGUUAAGUAGCCCGAGCGGUUUUUGAUCUUUGCCGUUCAUCCCCGUUCGACCUCU
This 412-nucleotide ribosomal RNA is filed under the name Peripatopsis capensis. RNAcentral's name for it is "SSU rRNA". It matches the Rfam family "Eukaryotic small subunit ribosomal RNA", at positions 991 to 1403 of the family's 1831-position model. Lineage: Eukaryota; Metazoa; Onychophora; Udeonychophora; Euonychophora; Peripatopsidae. The record is from RNAcentral.